This 524-nucleotide ribosomal RNA is filed under the name uncultured bacterium. RNAcentral describes it as "partial 16S ribosomal RNA". It matches the Rfam family "Bacterial small subunit ribosomal RNA", at positions 28 to 523 of the family's 1533-position model. The record is from RNAcentral.
GACGAACGCUGGCGGCGUGCCUAAUACGUGCAAGUCGAGCGCAGGAAACUGACGGAACUCUUCGGAGGGAAGGCAGUGGAAUGAGCGGCGGACGGGUGAGUAACACGUAAGGAACCUGCCUCAAGGAUUGGGAUAACUCCGAGAAAUCGGAGCUAAUACCGGAUAGUUCAUCGGACCGCAUGGUCCGUUGAUGAAAGGCGCUCCGGCGUCACCUUGAGAUGGCCUUGCGGUGCAUUAGCUAGUUGGUGGGGUAACGGCCCACCAAGGCGACGAUGCAUAGCCGACCUGAGAGGGUGAUCGGCCACACUGGGACUGAGACACGGCCCAGACUCCUACGGGAGGCAGCAGUAGGGAAUCUUCCACAAUGGACGAAAGUCUGAUGGAGCAACGCCGCGUGAGUGAUGAAGGUUUUCGGAUCGUAAAACUCUGUUGUAAGGGAAGAACACGUACGAGAGGGAAUGCUCGUACCUUGACGGUACCUUACGAGAAAGCCACGGCUAACUACGUGCCAGCCGCCGCUGUAA